CAUCACUCAAUAAUCAACCAAACGGAUAUCAUACGAAUGAAACAUUAAGAUCUGCUUGUUUCUUGUGUUAUGGAUGUCCAAGUGAAGCAUUUCCUGGUUAAGCAGCAGAAAAGUCCUGCUGAUUAGCAGUGCAGGUUCACUGGUGUAAAUGAGGAAUCUCUGAUCCUGCUUGAGUCUAUAAUCUGCUUGCAUGUUUACUGGCUAAAAGCAGGCGUGAUGCUGCCGUGACCCAGGCUGAUCCAGAUCCUCGGAGCAUCUUUUCCUAUCUUUCCUUCCCUUUUUCUGUGCGGCAACACAGCCUGUUAUUUCAAGGAAAGUGCAACCUUUGCCUUGGGCUUUAAUUAUGUUCAAUUUGCCAAGCCGAGCCUGAAAAAUUGAGAGGGUGAAAAAGCUCUAUGACCUAUUUAUUAAUGCUGCGUUGAGUCUGAAGCUGCACUGAGAUCAGCACUGCAUCACUCAACAAUAACAGGCGUCUCUGGAGAACACGCUCUUCUCCACUGCAGGAAUUCACUGCUCUAUUAUACACCGCCGGACACUUCAUUGACUUGAGCAGCACUGAAGUAAAUGACAUUAGUUUUGUAGCUGAGUGUGAGCGGGAUCUGCUGUGUGUUUUUGGAAAUGGAUGUUAAAAGGACAGAAGUAUGUCUAAUCAAAUAAAACCUAAUUAUGUAUAUUAUAUAGACGGGAUGUAGCCUAUUUAUAAUUAGAUAUGUGUGUAUUAAAUAGAGUUUAUAUUAUUUUUAGAUAGUCAUAUCACCGUAUUUAAGUUUUUUUUUUAUCUUAUGAUGUGAAUUAGUUUAUUGUGUUUUGUUUUUGUUUCUUGUACAAUUUCAGUGAGUCUACAAUAAAAAUCUCCCCUCCUCUGCU
Molecule: long non-coding RNA, 867 nt
Filed under: Danio rerio (zebrafish)
Lineage: Eukaryota; Metazoa; Chordata; Actinopteri; Cypriniformes; Danionidae
Description: lncRNA linc.4149 (ENSDARG00000097984.3)
Source: RNAcentral